GCCCGCCAUUGGCCAUUGUGUCCAAGCGCGGCGUCACAUAGUGGCUGAUGCCGUCCAAGGCGCCGGGUAGAAACAGGAAGCGCACCAGACACACCAGCAAAAGGGCCAAAGUUGACAGGAUCAAAUAGCGCAACAGUUUGCCAAACUGAAGCAUCGAAAGGCCAAUAUGAAUGUAAUGAUUGCCCAGAUGACGCCAGAGAAGCCGACAAUUUGCCAGGACAACUCGUAGCUAGCAUCUUCUCCCAUGUAAUAAUCACUGCUUAAUGUCUCAUAGUGCUGCCUACAGGAAUACAGUUAGAAUAGCGCUAAUUAGUGAUAAUUUCGUAAUAUUAAGGUGCAACUUACCUGAAAUAAAGCACGGAGGGCACGUGCACCACACUCAAUUCAGAAAA
Long non-coding RNA from Drosophila montana, 392 nucleotides. RefSeq lists it as uncharacterized. NCBI's taxonomy places the organism in Eukaryota, Metazoa, Arthropoda, Insecta, Diptera, Drosophilidae. The transcript has 2 exons. The record is from RefSeq and is a predicted model, not a curated record.